Non-coding RNA from Paramuricea clavata, 498 nucleotides. The record is from the annotation of a GenBank genome assembly. NCBI's taxonomy places the organism in Eukaryota, Metazoa, Cnidaria, Anthozoa, Malacalcyonacea, Plexauridae.
UACCGAGUGUGGAGCAAUGAUAGAUGGUUUGUUGGUAACAAAAAGUUUGGUGUGGUAUCGCAUAUAAUAGUAGGGGGGGGAGGGAGAGCAUGGCCGUAGGAAGCUCUUUUCGUUUGGGGGGGGGGCUAAAAGCGAGGGCCGAAGGCCCGAGGAAAUUUUUAAAUUUAGAGUCUCUGAAAUGCCAUUUCCUGGACUUUGGGGAAGAUUUGACAGAUUUCUGAUUGUCAGAAAACAGCGUUUUUAGUAUGUGGAAAUUUAGAAUUCAGUAGAACUAAAUGGACGAAGGUGUAUUUAAUUAACGAUAUAUUGGAUAAGUUGCAAGAAAGUAUGGGUAAUAUCUUCAUUCUUUGCAGUUUGUCAUGGAUUAAAUAAUAAAGGUCUGCAUGAUUUUGAAAAAUGGAUGACCCUACGACCCUGGAGAGGGUCUGGGGUUUUCUCCCCAGAAAAUUUUUGUAUUUUUCUACCCCUAUCACUGCAAUUCCCUGCAUUUUCUGAAAC